AUUGCUUCUCGGCCUUUUGGCUAUGAUCAAGUGUAGUAUCUGUUCUUAUUGGCUUACUGUCUGAUAUGUACUCUGAGUAAGUUAUCCUUGUCUUUCAAAUAACAUGCAUGUGUGCUGCUUCCCGAUCGCUGCCUGUUAAUGUCUCACCUGGCAGAUGAAGACUCAGCUCUC
Otolemur garnettii (small-eared galago) is the source of this 171-nucleotide small nuclear RNA. Its record names the gene U2. It matches the Rfam family "U2 spliceosomal RNA". Rfam says of the family: U2 is a small nuclear RNA (snRNA) component of the spliceosome (involved in pre-mRNA splicing). Complementary binding between U2 snRNA (in an area lying towards the 5' end but 3' to hairpin I) and the branchpoint sequence (BPS) of the intron results the bulging out of an unpaired adenosine, on the BPS, which initiates a nucleophilic attack at the intronic 5' splice site, thus starting the first of two transesterification reactions that mediate splicing. NCBI's taxonomy places the organism in Eukaryota, Metazoa, Chordata, Mammalia, Primates, Galagidae. The record is from Ensembl.